AAGUCGUAACAAGGUUUCCGUAGGUGAACGUGCGGAAGGAUCAUUAACAGAACACACAUCGAGUGAAGUGGGAAGGCUGGGGGUCACCCCGAAGCCGCAUCCAGCCCCCGGGUCCGGGGGCAGCGCCGCCGGGGUCCUCGGACGCCCGAUGCCUUGGUUGACCCCGAAAAAGGACGGUAGCGGCCCCGAGUCGCCUCUCAGAGCGUCGCGUCCCCUGACCUCGGGCUGCGGCCACCUGGCCGCGUCCACUGGCAGGUCGGAGUACAAAGUGUGUCGGUGUGAAGGGGCCUCAGCGUCGACUGCCCACACCGCCGGGAGGCGGAUUCCCACAACCCAAACCCUCCGCGUACACAUCCCUGUUGCUUCCCCCGGGUCUCCUCCCGGGGGGAGGUCCCUGAGCAAACCGUGCUGUCCAACCAGCCCGCGGCCACUCUCGUCUGAAUGCCAUCGCGCCACGGCGGAUGGAAAGAGCGAGGAGGAAGAAUGGAAUGAUGAAAACUUUCAACAACGGAUCUCUUGGUUCCCGCAUCGAUGAAGAACGCAGCGAAAUGCGAUAAGUAAUGUGAAUUGCAGAAUUCAGUGAAUCAUCGAAUCUUUGAACGCACAUUGCGCCCUCCGGCAUUCCGGGGGGCAUGCCUGUUCGAGCGUCUCUUGGACGAACCCUCGCGCGGGCGAACGCGCGGUCAUGGCGACGGUGGCGUUCCCGGGUCGGAGGCCACCGCGCUGGAAUCCAUGGGCGGACGCCUGCCGCGUUGCCGAGCGUGAUAGGACGCAUCGGCGCUCGCGAGCGGCGAGGCUGCCAGCCCUGGCCCGUACGUCGGGCGGGGAGGAUAUA
RNAcentral lists this ribosomal RNA (835 nucleotides) under uncultured Helvella. Its description in RNAcentral is "eukaryotic LSU rRNA". The stretch from base 497 to 650 matches the Rfam family "5.8S ribosomal RNA". Lineage: Eukaryota; Fungi; Ascomycota; Pezizomycetes; Pezizales; Helvellaceae. The record is from RNAcentral.